UACGAAGGGGGCUAGCGUUGUUCGGAAUUACUGGGCGUAAAGCGCACGCAGGCGGUCUGCUAAGUUUGGAGUGACAGUUGGUGGCUUAACUGCCAAAGUGCUUCGAAAACUGACAGACUUGAGGGCUUCAGAGGGACACGGAAUUCCGGGUGGAGUGGUGAAAUGCGUAGAUAUCUGGAGGAACACCGGUGGCGAAGGCGGCGUUCUGGACUGCAACUGACACUGAGGAACGAAAGCCAGGGGAGCAAACGGG
Molecule: ribosomal RNA, 253 nt
Filed under: uncultured bacterium
Lineage: Bacteria
Description: partial 16S ribosomal RNA
Rfam family: Bacterial small subunit ribosomal RNA
Source: RNAcentral